CGCUGGCGGCAGGCUAACACAUGCAAGUCGAACGGUAACAGAAGCAGCUUGCUGCUUUGCUGACGAGUGGCGGACGGGUGAGUAAUGUCUGGGAAACUGCCUGAUGGAGGGGGAUAACUACUGGAAACGGUAGCUAAUACCGCAUAACGUCGCAAGACCAAAGAGGGGGACCUUCGGGCCUCUUGCCAUCGGAUGUGCCCAGAUGGGAUUAGCUAGUAGGUGGGGUAAAGGCUCACCUAGGCGACGAUCCCUAGCUGGUCUGAGAGGAUGACCAGCCACACUGGAACUGAGACACGGUCCAGACUCCUACGGGAGGCAGCAGUGGGGAAUAUUGCACAAUGGGCGCAAGCCUGAUGCAGCCAUGCCGCGUGUAUGAAGAAGGCCUUCGGGUUGUAAAGUACUUUCAGCGGGGAGGAAGGGAGUAAAGUUAAUACCUUUGCUCAUUGACGUUACCCGCAGAAGAAGCACCGGCUAACUCCGUGCCAGCAGCCGCGGUAAUACGGAGGGUGCAAGCGUUAAUCGGAAUUACUGGGCGUAAAGCGCACGCAGGCGGUUUGUUAAGUCAGAUGUGAAAUCCCC
RNAcentral lists this ribosomal RNA (579 nucleotides) under Escherichia coli O83:H1. RNAcentral describes it as "bacterial SSU rRNA". It matches the Rfam family "Bacterial small subunit ribosomal RNA", at positions 34 to 604 of the family's 1533-position model. Lineage: Bacteria; Pseudomonadati; Pseudomonadota; Gammaproteobacteria; Enterobacterales; Enterobacteriaceae. The record is from RNAcentral.